CAUUCACGGAGAGUUUGAUCCUGGCUCAGGACGAACGCUGGCGGCGUGCUUAACACAUGCAAGUCGAACGAUGAAGCCCUUCGGGGUGGAUUAGUGGCGAACGGGUGAGU
RNAcentral lists this ribosomal RNA (110 nucleotides) under Streptomyces adustus. Its description in RNAcentral is "partial 16S ribosomal RNA". It matches the Rfam family "Bacterial small subunit ribosomal RNA", at positions 1 to 111 of the family's 1533-position model. The record is from RNAcentral. Lineage: Bacteria; Bacillati; Actinomycetota; Actinomycetes; Kitasatosporales; Streptomycetaceae.